AUCAUUUUGGCAGAUUAAGUGUAGUGAAUUUAGAAUUCAUUGAUGUAAAAUAGUAUUUUAUAAAUGAUA
RNAcentral lists this transfer RNA (69 nucleotides) under Ornebius bimaculatus. Its description in RNAcentral is "tRNA-Leu". The record is from RNAcentral. Lineage: Eukaryota; Metazoa; Arthropoda; Insecta; Orthoptera; Mogoplistidae.